CGCAUCUUGCGCUCCUUGGUAUUCCGAGGAGCAUGCCUGUUUGAGUGUCAUUAAAUUCUCAACCUUAUUAGCUUUUGCGACCUAAGGCUUGGAUGUGGGGGAUUGCUGCUGGCUUCUCACGAGGUCGGCUCCCCUGAAAUGCAUUAGCGGUACCCUGGUGGAAUCGAAUAUCAGUGUGAUAAUAUCUACGCUGUUAAUUCAUCCACACUACAAAGGGCUUUGCUGCUUCAAGUCGUCUAGUUUCUGGACAAUCAUAUGACAUUUUUGACCUCAAAUCAGGUAGGACUACCCGCUGAACUUAA
RNAcentral lists this unclassified non-coding RNA (302 nucleotides) under fungal sp. RNAcentral's name for it is "partial contains 5.8S ribosomal RNA, internal transcribed spacer 2, and large subunit ribosomal RNA". The record is from RNAcentral. Lineage: Eukaryota; Fungi.